RNAcentral lists this ribosomal RNA (253 nucleotides) under uncultured bacterium. RNAcentral describes it as "partial 16S ribosomal RNA". It matches the Rfam family "Bacterial small subunit ribosomal RNA", at positions 524 to 776 of the family's 1533-position model. The record is from RNAcentral.
UACGAAGGGGGCUAGCGUUGCUCGGAAUCACUGGGCGUAAAGGGUGCGUAGGCGGGUUCUUAAGUCAGAGGUGAAAUCCUGGAGCUCAACUCCAGAACUGCCUUUGAUACUGAGAGUCUUGAGUUCGGGAGAGGUGAGUGGAACUGCGAGUGUAGAGGUGAAAUUCGUAGAUAUUCGCAAGAACACCAGUGGCGAAGGCGGCUCACUGGCCAGAUACUGACGCUGAGGCACGAAAGCGUGGGGAGCAAACACG